GACGAACGCUGGCGGCGUGCUUAACACAUGCAAGUCGAGCGGUAAGGCCCUUUCGGGGGUACACGAGCGGCGAACGGGUGAGUAACACGUGGGUGACCUGCCCUCAGCUCUGGGAUAAGCCUGGGAAACCGGGUCUAAUACUGGAUAUGACUCCAUGACGCAUGUUGUGGGGUGGAAAGCCUUGUGCGGCUGAGGAUGGGCCCGCGGCCUAUCAGCUUGUUGGUGGGGUGAUGGCCUACCAAGGCGACGACGGGUAGCCGGCCUGAGAGGGCGGACCGGCCACACUGGGACGUGAGACACGGCCCACGACUCCUACGGGAGGGCAGCAGUGGGGAA
This 336-nucleotide ribosomal RNA is filed under the name uncultured bacterium. Its description in RNAcentral is "bacterial SSU rRNA". It matches the Rfam family "Bacterial small subunit ribosomal RNA", at positions 28 to 361 of the family's 1533-position model. The record is from RNAcentral.